AUACGUAGGGGACAAGCGUUAUCCGGAUUUACUGGGUGUAAAGGGAGCGUAGGCGGCCAGCCAAGUCAGAAGUGAAAUCCCACGGCUCAACUGUGGGCGUGCUUUUGAAACUGGAGGGCUUGAGUACUGGAGGGGCAAGCGGAAUUCCUGGUGUAGCGGUGAAAUGCAUAGAUAUCAGGAAGAACACCGGAGGCGAAGGCGGCUUGCUGGACAGAGACUGACGCUGAGGCUCGAAGGCGUGGGGAGCAAACAGGAUUAGAUACCCUGGUAGUCCACGCGGUAAACGAUGAAUGCUAGGUAUUGGGCUCCAUAGGGGUUCGGUGCCGCAGUUAACGCAAUAAGCAUUCCACCUGGGGAGUACGUUCGCAAGAAUGAAACUUAAAUGAAUUGGCGGGG
RNAcentral lists this ribosomal RNA (396 nucleotides) under uncultured bacterium. RNAcentral's name for it is "partial 16S ribosomal RNA". It matches the Rfam family "Bacterial small subunit ribosomal RNA", at positions 523 to 918 of the family's 1533-position model. The record is from RNAcentral.